This 8183-nucleotide long non-coding RNA is filed under the name Olea europaea (common olive). RNAcentral's name for it is "long non-coding RNA (OEUR_LNC008491)". Lineage: Eukaryota; Viridiplantae; Streptophyta; Magnoliopsida; Lamiales; Oleaceae. The record is from RNAcentral.
UGGAAAAUUCUUUCUGCGCGUCCUUCAGUAUUUUUAGCAUAACUUUCUCAUCCAAUGUCCAAUUGAGGUGAUUCAAAGCUCGUUAGAAAGCUAACUUAAAGGAGUACAAAGUUUCUUUAAAUAUUAUUCUCCGAUUCGAUCGUUUGCUAUGUCAAAAAUGAGUCUCAAUGUGAGGCUGAAAUUCCGGAGCACAACUUUUCGGUUGAAAAUUGAUUUGUGAUCAUAUUUUGACUAAAUUUGGUUCCUUUGACAUCUUUUUUAUCCAAUUGACUCCUAGCAUGCUUGGAUCUUCAUUGCGAGGUUCAACCAACUUUUUAAUAUUUGUGCUUUAGUCCCUGAACUUUGUAUCUCUUACAAUUUAGCAAUUUUCUCCAAUUUCGCCAACUUUUGCUUAUUUCUUUUAAUUUCAUCAACCUAAAUCACAACAUCAAAACACACAAUAAAAAACUCUAAAACACUCUCAAGAGUAACAAAAUAACAAAUUAUGUGGCAUAAAUAUUAUGAGUGUAAAGCACUCAUCAAAUAUCCCGAAAGUUAAUAUUUUGCUUGUCCUCGAGCAAACACCAAACUAAAGAAAAUCAUUAACAAAUACACAAGCACAAUUAAAAAAAAUAAAAUCACUUAAAAGACACAUUAUGUUAGACACCUUGCCUUUAUAGCUCAAGAUUAAAAACAUAGCGUCAAAUUCAUGAAUUACUUUAAAGCUAUAAUGCACAAGUCAAAUUCUCGCCUAUUUAAUGUGACCGGGUGUGUGUGUGGAGAGUUAAGCGCAACGCUGUACAAUAAUAAAUUGACCCAACUCCCGACCUUAAAAGUCAAAUGUUUUCUUGCCUCGCUCGUGGGAUUCACACACCCCAAACUUGUUUUCUUUUCUCUUCCCAAGGUAUAUUCUAAAAUUGAUUUUUCAAUACUAAUUUCUUAGACCGCUCAAGUUUGGUUAGAUUUCACUAUUGCAGUUCAACAUAUCAACAGAUAAGGAUUCUCCUUAUUUUUUACUACUUCAACCUCCCAGAAUCAACCAAGUUACUAACCUCUCAUCAAAGGUCUAAUCCUCUAAAACAAGUGUUUGGGGCUUAAUCAAGGUAUGUAAUAUCAAAUUUCUUUUCUUUAUUUUUUUUUCAAAUAUAAAUUUAUUCUUUAAACAUCCUUUGUAUGGACGUCACUCCCUUAAACUUUCUAAAUGACCCCUGUAGCGAGCUUUAGGUCGAUGACUCCCAAAUCAGACAACUUUAGGGCACCAGGUUUCAAAUUCUUACAGGCUUAAUCACUCGAAUCAUAAAGGUUACGAAGAGACGAUUCACAAUAAAAUUAUUAAAGUUGUCCUCAUUGAGAUCUUUUUUUUAUGCAAUGAUUAGUGCAAUGUCUCUUAUUAAACACCAAUUCUCGAAAAUCGACCUCUAACAUAAGGUUUUCACCCAAUUUUCAUCCUAUUAGUUUCAGACAAUCCACACAACAUUUAGCAUACACGGUAUCCACAUUUAUCCCCAAGUUUCCCUACAACAGCUUAAUCUACCAAACAUCCUAUAUUUGGUUUAAAGGUAAUAUGAUGUUCAAAAGUUGUUUGGGUUUAGCAUCUAAGUUCUCUAAUCCAACUUAUAAACAUGAAUCAACAUACUCAUGCACAACGCCACAAUCAACUCAUGUGCAAAAAUAAUUUCCGUUUUACAUAAAUAAGCAAAAAUCUAACUCAAGCACAUAACUUAUCCAUAACCCAUAAAUCAACGCAUGUUCUCAAUUACACAAAUCAAUAUCGGCAAGGCUAUCUAACUCACACAAGCAUGCAAAACACAAAAUUAUUUUUUUAACAGUGCACCCUAAUAAGAAAAUUAAAAAAAAAAUUGUACACAAAUCACACAAAAUACAGAAAAUAAAAAAAAUAUGUAGAUAAUUAGAAAAUUUAUGAUACACCCCCAAACUUAAACUAAACAUUGUCCCCAAUGUUAAAUUAAAAGAAAAGGAGGAAAACUUUCCUGAAUUGUCUGAAUUGCCAAUGAUGGUCUGGUGCUAUGAUACUGGACUUGAUUGAUACUUCUUCUAGUUUCUCCCCCAAACUUGACAUUUAUCUAGUUACUCUUCGUCAAUUGGUUUGAUUGUUCCACGAUGUCAAGUUUCUGAAAAUUCAAAAUGUAGAUAUUAAAUUCAUGAAACAAGUGUUACUUAACUCGAACAUCUAAUAACCAACUAGACUGCUCAAAGACCUAAGGGAGAUGAGGUAGGGCUGAUGAAUUCCUUAAAAAAAAAAAUUUGAAAUGAAAUAAACUCUCCUAUAAUUCAAAACAAAUAAAAUAAAAUAAAAUAAGUGAAAAGGCAAGAACGUUUGGGUUGCCUCCCAAGAAGCGUUUCUUUAUAGUCACUAGCUUGACUCAACCGCAACGCUUACGGUGGAUCCUUAGGUGGCACAUUUCUCUUGUUUCUGAACUUUAUCUUCGGCUUUGUAUUCUCCUUCAUUGUAAGAUGGUGAACAAACUUAGGCUGUUUUGACCCUGGUAUGGCUUUCAAGACCUCUUUUGGUUUGGUAAUGUUUGGAGGUUUCAAACGCCUAUAUACAUAGCUCUUUUUUUUGUCAGGUAGGUCAGCUUCUUGAGCUAAGAUGAAAUCCACUGCUUUCUUCAUUUCUGAGUCAUUACCAUCAGUAGAUACAUCCCUUGUUGAGUAAUUAAUUUCCAUGUAUUGCACCAACGGAUCAUAAAAUAAUUCCCUUUUUUCUCCAUUUCCUGCAAUUACUUCAACUGAUUGGAUCAUUUUGCAAAUGUCAACUUUUCCUUUUUCUUGGGCUUUCUUUUCUUGAUGGAUGUUGAAAGUUACUUGCUCUUCAUUAACUCAUAGUUUCAACUUUCCUUCUUGCACAUCAAUCAAUGCUUUUCCAGUAGCCAGGAAAUGUCGGCCAAGAAUCAAUGGUAUUUUCUCAUCCUCUUCCAUGUCCAAUACCACAAAGUCUACCGGAAAGAUGAACUUAUCAACCUUCACCAACACAUCUUCAAUAAUGCCUUUGGGAUAUGUGAUCGAUCUGUCCGCCAGUUGCAAGGUAAGGGUUGUGGGAUUCACUUUUCCAGACCCAGUUUUUUGAACACUGAUAAAGGCAUCAAGUUUAUACUAGCUCCAAGGUCAUAUAGUGCCCUAUCAAAUGUGAUACCACCAAUAUUGCACGGGAUGUUGAAGCGGCCCGGAUCUUUCAAUUUGUGAGGGAGCUUCUUCUGAAGUAUGGUGAUAAGUGUGUUUUUACACACUUAUUUAACUCACAAACAUGACUUAAACAUGAACAAAGUAGUUGAAUUGUGGCUUAAUCUUUUUAAAUUUAUGCAAUGUAGGUGUUUCCACGGAAAAGAUGGAAUUUAGAAGAAAAGAGCCGAAAAGGGACCAAAACGAAACAAAGCUAUAGUUCGGGGACCAAGUUGCAAAUAAUCCAUAGAUGAGACGGGAAAUGGAAUGAAGAUUCAAGAGUGUUAGAGGUCAAUCGGAUGAGGAAAGGAGUCAAGAGGUGAAAUAUGGUCGAAGUAUUAUCAAGCAUCAACUUUCAGGCAAAAAAGUUAUGCUCGUGAUUUUGAGUCUCUACUUGAGAUCCAUUUUUGGCAUAGUAAACAUCAGAAUUUGAGGAAGCCUAUUUCUAUCAAAAAUGUACUUCUUUAAGUUUUCUUCCCAAUUCACUUUGAAUCACUUCAAUCGGAGAUUGGGAGAGAAAGUAAUGACCAAAAUACUGAAAGCUGUCCGACGGAAAAAUUUCUAUAACCAUGCAGCGGUCGCACAUGAUAUAACAGAGAUCUUUUUGGGCUGAAAAAUUUAACCAUGCGGCCGCAUGGCCUUAAUUUCGAAAAAAAAUCUGAACUUUCAUUUUUAAUUGAAACUCUUUCGAGGCUCCGAGAGGACAUGAUAUAAAAGCCAAAAUUCAUCAAAAAUAAGGCAGAAUGUCCAGGGAGAAGAAGAAUACAACUUUUGGAGGCAAGGAACAUGAACUUGAAGCCGAUUUCACAAGGAUUCAAGUAGGUUUUCAAGGUUUUGUUCAAGAUUUCAAAUUUCAAGAACUUUCAUACGAGUGUUAUUCUUUCUAUUUAUUAAUUUCGUUUUUUUUCUGUAAUUAUGAAUCUUCUAGGUUAGGUUUUCAAUUACUAGGUAAUUGAUGAACCGUUGUUUGUUAUUUUAAUUCUAUAUUUCAUGAAUUUAAUAUAAAGACUCGUUUGGAUAAUUUGAUUGAUUUACAUGCAUUAGUUUUCUUCCGCAAUUAGUGGCCAAUGAUUGUGGGAGUGUUGAUGACUUAUUUCUUACAUUCGAGAGAAGUGGAAUAGGUUCGAUAAGGUGUAAAUUAGCAUAAGGUUCGAUAGAGGAUAGAGAUAUACCCCUAUACUUUAUACAAUUCUUAAAUUGUUCACAAAACUACAUGCAUUCUUGUAUGUUUCCAUCAUCCAUAGAGAUAUAGGCUGGUGGUGUGCAAGAAUAGGUCUAAUAUAUAUCGAGAGAGUAUAUUAGAUAGAAUUAGGAACAUUGAAUUGGCAAAUUUUCAUCGAAUCAUUAAUUUUAUGAAAUUAGGGUUUUUAUAACUUCAAUUGGGGAUUCGUGAUCCUAGUGACUUUAGUUUGAUUAAUUUCCAUAAAUUAGCUUUUGAAAUUGCAUAAUUUCAUUUACUUGAGUGUUUGAGUCAUUUAAUUAGAGAAAUUUCAAAAUUAGGGUUUCUAAUUGAGAAAUUAGGAUUUUUUAGUUGAAAUUAGGGUUUCUUAAUUGAAAUUAGGGCUUUUGCAUUUAGACCAUAUUUUCACUCAAUUAGAUUCGGUUAAGGCUAGAUUAUAUAGAAUUGAACUACUCAAUCUCUGAGGGAUAAUAUUCGGACUUUUUAAAAUCCACUUUAUUACUUAUUACGAACUGUACACUUGCGAUAGUUUUAAAUCGAAAGAAUUAUUUCGUGAACAUAUGGCACUACACUCCUCUGUCAGUUUAACAGUCUCAAAUUCCUCCAACUUUCUCUUCUUUGACAUCACUUCCUCUAAGAACUUGGCAUAGUUAGGCAUUUGGGCCAAAGUUUCUACAAAGGGAAUGUUGAUGUGGAUUUUCUUAAAGACCUCCAGAAACUUUGCGAAUUUUUCAUCAAACUCCUUCUUCAAAUACCUCUGCAGGAAUGGUAGUGGGGGCUUCAAGAUAGGUGGGUUGUCCAGAAAUGAAAUUGAGUAAGGCUUAUAAAUCUUCUUUGUUGCCUCUGCCUCAGUUUUCUGCCCUCCAAUCUGCUUUUCCCUUGCAAGAAUGGGAUCUUUUCCCUUGCAAGAAUGGGAUCCGAUAUAGGUACCCCAAUCUCUCUAAGGUUGCGUUCUUCAACUAGUUUACCACUUCUUAGGGUGAUAGCAUUGCAGUGUUCCCGUGGGUUAACCUCUGUGUCACUGGAAAAUUGUCCUUUUUGUUGAGACUGUAUUGCAGUUGCUAUCUAACCAAUCUGUACCUCCAAAUUCUUCACUGUAGCCCCCAAGUUGCUCGUAUAUGUCUCAAUGCUGUCAAGUCUUGCCUCAUCUUUGUUGAACCUCGAUCUGGUCUCCAAAAUGAAGGUUCCUAAAAUAUCUUCCAGUGAUGGUAUUCGCUCAAACGCUUGAUUAUUGAACCCUUGAUAGUAGUUGUUUCCUGAGUAGUUUCCCUUUUGAUUGAAAUUUCGAUCGUUCACAUACUGAAGUUGUUCUUUCUCCCUUUCAACUUUUUGGUAUGCAGUGGAUGUAGCCAUAAUAGAUUCUGAUUUCUUUUGUGAUCCAUCUAAAGUCAAUGCAGCUAUUUGAUUAGUGAGAGAUGACAUUUGAGCUACAAGGGCGAUUAUAGGAUCUACUUCAUAAAGGCCAGCAACUUUCUUUGCACUUGGACGCUCACUCAGCCAUUGAUAGCUAUUAGUAGCUAUCUCAUCCAAUAGUGCAUAGGCCUUAUUUGGAGUUUUGGAUAAUAGUCCACCCCCUGCUGCAGAAUCUACCACUAUCCGUGUCUGACCAUUCAAACCGUUGUAGAAGGUUUGUAUCUGCAACCAAUCCGGGUAACCAUGCUGAGGACAUCUUGUAAAUAGAUUUUUAUAUCUCUCCCUUGCCUCAUAGAAUGGUUCAAAGUCUAAUUGUCGAAAAUGUCCAAUUUCACUCCGUAAUUGCGCUGCCUUCGAAGGUGGAAAGAAUUUUGUAAGAAACUUCUGCGCUAACCCCUCCCAAGUUGUGAUGGAUCCAUACGGCAAUGAUUGGAACCAUGCCUUGGCUUUGUCUCUUAGGGAAAAGGAAAAUAGGCGGAGUCGGAUUGCAUCUUCGGUAACGCCAUUCAUUUUCACUGUAUCAUAGAUCUCCAGAAAGGACCCCAAAUGAGCAUUUAGGUAUUCUGUUGGAGCUCCCCCAAACUGAUUCUGUUGCACCAUGUGUAUAAGUCCUGGCUUCAGUUCGAAAUUGUUUGUAGCAAUUGCUGGGUGUGCGAUGCCAGAAUAGUUGUCAUUGACAGCCGGCCUUAUGUAGUCCUGAAUAGCCCUUUGUUGGUUAUCCUCAUUGGCUGCUCUAGCAUCCUGUUCUGCCAUUGCUUUCCGUUCCUUUUUUUGUAUGCCUCUGAGAAUGCAAAAUGUGCGUUCUGGUUCAGGAUCAACAGGUAGUAGAUCUAGAUUUCUCGCCCUUCGCAUAAACAGCUGAAAAUUACCAUAAGGAAGCCCUUAAAGAUAGACACGAAAAGAAUAAAAUAAAAAUAAAAAUUACAAUAGAAAUAAAAAUCUAAAGUAAAAUCACAGCUAAUUGGUAAUAAUAUCAAUUGAAUUCAAAUAAAUCAAUCCCCGACAACGGCGCCAAAAACUUGCCACGUAAUUUAUGCAACAUGAUUUUUAAACCGCAAGUGUACGGUGUCAAGUUUUGUAAUAUAGUAAAGAAGUUAGGAUGUCGAACCCACAAUGAUUGAUAUUCGAAUCAAUUGAGUACUAUAAUUAUUUUAGCUUUCCCUUUAUUUAGAUGAUCAAAUUUUGAGUCAAUGUUUUUAUGCUAAAUUAAAAUUAAAUAGGAUGAACGAUGCAAGUAAACAAGGGCAAAUUAUGAAAUUUCUUAUCAAAUUAUGAACGCUUGUGGAAUGAUUUCAUUGUACAUUCGACAAUAUUUUUCAACCGUAUAACUAUUUCUAUCAAUCUCUCCAAAAUUCAUAGGCAAGAACGCUAAAGUAAUUCUAUUUCCCUCUCUCGAGCGCCAAAUAAAAUCUAUUUUUAUAUAUUAAUUUCAAUAUCUCUAUUCUGAAUUAAAAAUAUAAAAAUUAUCAAGCACGUGGUUCUUAAUUAAAACAAGUCUCAAAGAUUCGCACUUUCUCUUGAAACCUACGAAAUCUAGGUUAUGUUGUCUUAGAUCACGCCUAAAUUUGCCUCUCUCGAGCGCCAAAAUUUAGAACAUCAAAUCAAUCAAUUAGUGGCCAGUUAAUUGAAAGCAUUGCGCACAAACAACAUAAAUAAAUAAAAAGGAAAGAUCAAUUGAAAUAAUUAUAACGGAAUCCAAACAUGUCUCAAAUAGGCUACAUCAUCCCUAGAAUAAUUGUUUAGUUCAUAAUUGAGAAAAUUGACAUGAAUAAAUUAAUAAGAAAGAACAUAGAGAAGAAAAGGAAUAGAAAAACUCGUUUUUGCCACUCAAUUUCUUCUUCCAUUGUUGCCAAAUUCUUUCAAUUAACUUCCUCUUCUUUAAUUGUAUUGACCAGCCGUGGGUUUGUCUCCAGAUUUUUGCAAUUAUCCGGCUAAACUCCUCUUUCCAGUCACGUGUUCUUGCCAGUUGCUUCAAGUUUUCCUUGCUCAUUCCCCCCCCUCUUAAUUAGGUCUUUUAGGUAGUAUUUAUAGUCUCCUCAAGUGUUGGACGAUUUUGGGUUGGAAUGGGCCGAGAAAGAAAUCCAAAAAUAUCAAAAUAUGUUUCCCCACAGAGUCAAAUUCAGCUUCAUGGGCGCUGCGGCGCCCGGUUCGGGUGAAAAAUUCUUUCUACGCGUCUUUCAGUAUUUUUAGUAUAACUUUCUCGUCCGAUGUCCAAUUGAGGUGAUUCAAAGCUCGUUAGAAAGCUAACUUAAAGGGGUAUAAAUUUUCUUCAGAUAUUAUUCUCCGCUUCGAUCGUUUGCUAUGUCAAAAAUGAGUCUCGAUGUGAGGCUAAAAUUCCUGAGCACAACUUUUCGAUUGAAAAUUGAUUUGUGAUCAUAUUUUGACUAAAUUUGAUCCAUUUGACAUCUUUUUUCCAUCCAAUUGACUCCUA